CCUACGGGAGGCUGCAGUGAGGAAUAUUGGUCAAUGGGCUUACGCCUGAACCAGCCAAGUCGCGUGAGGGAAGACUGCCCUAUGGGUUUUAAACCUCUUUUGUCAGGGAGCAACGCCGGCUACGUGUAGCCGGACUGAGAGUACCUGCACAAAAAGCAUCGGCUAACUACGUGCCAGCAGCCGCGGUAAUACGGAGGAGGCGAGCGUUAUCCGGAUUUACUGGGUGUAAAGGGAACGUAGGCGGGAUGGCAAGUCUGAUGUGAAAACCCGGGGCUCAACCCCGGGACUGCAGUGGAUACUGUCAGGCUAGAGUGUCGGAGAGGCAAGUGGAAUUCCUAGUGUAGCGGUGAAAUGCGUAGAUAUUAGGAGGAACACCAGUGGCGAAGGCGGCUUGCUGGACGAAGACUGACGUUGAGGCUCGAAAGCGUGGGGAGCAAACAGGAUUAGAUACCCUUGUAGUC
RNAcentral lists this ribosomal RNA (461 nucleotides) under uncultured bacterium. RNAcentral's name for it is "partial 16S ribosomal RNA". It matches the Rfam family "Bacterial small subunit ribosomal RNA", at positions 338 to 795 of the family's 1533-position model. The record is from RNAcentral.